This 358-nucleotide long non-coding RNA is filed under the name Physcomitrium patens. Its description in RNAcentral is "long non-coding RNA (PPAT_LNC005071)". Lineage: Eukaryota; Viridiplantae; Streptophyta; Bryopsida; Funariales; Funariaceae. The record is from RNAcentral.
AUAAUCACAAAUAUAUUUUAAAUAAAUCUCAAAAAAGUUUUAAUUUAAUCCUUGUUGAAACUUUAAUGGACUUCAAUUAAACUAUAAACAAACCUUAAAUCCUAAACCAAAUUCUAGACAAACCCUAAAUCCUAAACCAAAUCCUAAAAAAAUCCUAAAUCCUAAAUCAAAAUCUAAAAAAAUUCUAAAUUCUAGAUCAAAUCUAAGACAAAUCCUAAACUAUAAAUCUUAAAUCUUAAAUCAAAUCCUUGACAAAUCCUAAAUCCUAAACCAAAUCUUAAAUAAAUUCUAAAUCCUAAAUCAAACCCUAAAUCAAAUCUUAGAAAAAUUCUAAAUCCUAAACCAAAUCCUAAAUCAA